GUGCGCGCGCGUCCCGGGUGCCGCGCGCCCUCUCCUGCACAGCUGCGGUGCGCCCAGCCGCCCGCCAGAGGCUCGGCUCGCGCGGCGCGGCCGCUGCGACUUCCUGGAGUUCUGCCUACCGGGUGCGCGGGCGGGUGUGUGAGAGAAGGCGAGGGGAGCCGCAGGGUGGGAGAGGAGGGAGUCCCGGCGGGAGGGCGGGGUAGAGGCUGGCGGGAGGGGGGCUUCACGGAGCUCCAGCCAGGGCCGCGGUGCGCCUGCACGUCACGGCUACUCAAACCCAAGCACGUCCCGAAAGCGGUAUUUUCUGCGUCUGGGAGGUUUUUGCAUCCUCAGUUCCCACCGCUGGGGCUGGCGGCGACCAACUGUAAGAGAAACUCACUGGGAGGCGAGGCAGGGGGGUGCGGAGGAUGGGAAGGCGACUCUGAAGGGUGGGAAGUGAAUGCUGGACUUGAUCGUCUUUCUCUGUCUUUCAGCGCGGACCUGUCGCAGCCAGAGAGCUGUCAUUUUAGCACCGGGAUUCAGAAUUGAUCCAGUCCGCAGCGGAGGGGGCACAUCCCAGCUCCCGAGCUGCUGAGUGUCUCUGGCUGGAACAAUAGUAGUUUUUCUCUGCGAGGCUGCAAUUAACAUCUUAUUUGUUCUGGCUCCAUACAGGCUUUGUCAGGAUCGCGGUGCGGCGACCGAGGUUGGGCUCUUGCAUUGCUUUCUGCUUGGCAAUGGAAUCAUGGUUUCGGGGUCUAAACUUUUGUUUCAUUUUGUAGUCUUAAUGCAUCUGAUUCUUUUUCAAGUUUCCCUAGUAACAGGUUUGGGGACGGGGUGGGAAGAAACGAGAAAAGGGGUGAAGAGAAACAACCAGAUUAUAUAGAAAGGGAAAAGGGAUAAGUUUCCCCACCUUUUAAUCUAUCUGCCUGUCUAUCUAUCUAUUAUCUAUCUAUCAGUCAUUUUGCCUCCUGGACAGUUGGCUGACGAAGUGUCUGAUAAACCAGCUUCAGAUACAUGCUACAAAAGGUCAUUCGCCUCCUGAUUAUGUCUCUACUUGUAAACGCAGUUGGUGGUUUGCAAAACAAGUGCUAAAAUAGUGCAAUGAUGUGGUGGGAGGAAACCACCAUGGGCAAUUCAUAUAAAGUGCUGGAAUCUUCAUAAGGGCUACUGAGCUGGCCUGAUGAUGAUCCUGCUGAGAUAUAUUUAUAGCAGAUGAUUUGUGGAUGAUAACUACGCCAAGCAAGACACGGUCUCCAGUAACCCCAGGCUCGUCUGAUUUCCUCAGGGGAUUAUAAUCAAGAAUCAGGAAAAGAGCCCUAUAUGAACAGUCUGGUCUCUGGACACGAACAACAGCACAAUCCAAAGGCAAAGCAAGGAAGGAACCACUUUGUUUCAUGUCUGCAAGAUGCUCCAUAUAGAAAGCAUUGCUGACAUGUUGACCCAACAGCAAAAAGAGAGCAGCAGUUCACACACCCUCAGCUCUCUGUCCUUUCGUUUCUAUUGAUGUUGGUCCACUUUUAUGAUUUAAUACAUAUUAAAUUCACCAUUUCAAAUUAU
Molecule: long non-coding RNA, 1536 nt
Filed under: Macaca mulatta (Rhesus monkey)
Lineage: Eukaryota; Metazoa; Chordata; Mammalia; Primates; Cercopithecidae
Description: lncRNA (ENSMMUG00000055982.1)
Source: RNAcentral